CUCUCCCAGCCCCCAGCACAGGGCAAGGGGUUGCGUAGUGAAACGCCAGGUGGGAGAGAGGCCCGCUGCCUGGGGAACCCGCUGCCACAUGCCAGACGUAACGGGAUUCCCAAAGGGACAGGCCAUGGGCAGCAGUUCUACCAGCUCAUGCACAAACCUCCAACUUCAGGGCUCAAGCCAGUGCUCCGCGGAGACCCAGCGCCGGGCAGCUCCCCCCUCAUCUGCUGCACCUUCCCCUGCAGCGGCCGGUGCUGCCCCUACCAGAGACAGGCCUUGGCUCUGAGCCGGACCCCACCCGGGGGCAGCUCCCGCCCGGCCGGGGUCCGACAGAGCCCCUGCCCGCUCCAGUGGGAGCAGAGAUGUGUGCCAUGGCUUUGGCACUGCAUGAGGCCGUGGGGCCCAUGCCAGGGCGGAGCACCAGACGCCCCCUCCCAGCCAAUGCAGGGGCAGGAAGGGCACCGGGAGGAGUGUGCAGCCAAGAGCCGUUCCCCGUCACCUUCUGCCUGGCGCCGGAGACCCGCCAGCACCGCAGCUAUCGACCUGCCUCUGGGCAGCGGAGACCGAGCGGCUGUAAUUACAUUGCUCCAGCCACAGGCUUCCCGCGUCUCUUCGUUAGCUUCCAUCCCAGACUGCAGGAGUUUGUUAGCCAGCCGGGGGGGGGGUGGCCCCCGCGCUGAGUCCAGGACAAACCGGCUGGGAAACAGCCCCCCAGUAACCCUGAACGCACAGCCCCAGAGCAGCGACUUCCCGACCUGGAGCCUCUCGACCACGUCCCAGGAACCCAUGCAGCUUGGGCAAGCCACCGACCAGCCCUGCUCCAAGGCUGGGGGCAGCAGAACCAUGCGUGGCCACGCGCCCCAGGCUGGGCUAGCAGGGACUGUGGGUCGGGAGGGAGGGGCACUGGCAGAGCGUGGGGGGGCAGGUCGGGAGGGAGGGGCACCGGCAGAGCUGGGGGGGGGCAGGUCGGGAGGGAGGGGCACCGGCAGAGCUGGGGGGAGCCCAGGGUU
This 1007-nucleotide long non-coding RNA is filed under the name Chrysemys picta bellii (western painted turtle). Its description in RNAcentral is "lncRNA (ENSCPBG00000008660.1)". The record is from RNAcentral. Lineage: Eukaryota; Metazoa; Chordata; Testudines; Emydidae.